Long non-coding RNA from Hyla sarda, 201 nucleotides. RefSeq lists it as uncharacterized. The transcript is spliced from 3 exons. The record is from RefSeq and is a predicted model, not a curated record. Lineage: Eukaryota; Metazoa; Chordata; Amphibia; Anura; Hylidae.
CUGACACCCAUUCACUCCCACUGAUGAAAAAAAGGCUGAGAGAUUAAAUAAAAAAGCAAUGAAAGAUGGCAGCAGAUUCUGAGUUCAGAAACAUUGCAUGCAGAGAACAGAUGUCUCAUGAAGCGUACCUGUAACAGGGGGCAAGAUAAAGACGAUUGUGAUGUGUAAGCCACUCAGCACUUACUCCAGCCAGAAGCCCAC